RNAcentral lists this long non-coding RNA (16475 nucleotides) under Marmota monax (woodchuck). Lineage: Eukaryota; Metazoa; Chordata; Mammalia; Rodentia; Sciuridae. The record is from RNAcentral.
AAGCCACCAAGUCUGUAAUAGCUUGCAUUAGCAGCUCUGCCCCGCCCUUGGGUGUUCCGCACACUGUGGGCAGGGCUCGCCGGCCACCUCUCCCUGCUGGUCCCAGCACUUACUGCCCCAGCUGCCCCCACUCCCAUGUGCAGGUGCCCCAGGGCUGCUUCCAGCUGCUGCCUUUUGCCCAGCCUGAGGCCACAGCCUGGAGUGCCCUCCGGACCCCACUGCUCCAGGCCUGUCUCUGCCAGGCUCCCUUAGGGCCACUCUGCCCCUCCCUGGCUGCCUCAGAAGAGCCAGUCUGUCCACAGGUCCCUCCCAGCCAGAGUCCACUGCCACGGUGGCUUUCUCCCCCACCUGGCUCUGGCCAGAGCCACGCCACCCUGCCCUUUGGACGUGGACCCAAUUCAAAGCUGCAGCCCUGUCCUUGAAUCUCUCUCUUGGGGAACAGCUCUCUCCUGCCAGCUGCUGGUCCGGGCUGGUUUUUUUCAUAUUUAUGUUUUAGUUACAGGUGGAACCAUAUCUUUAUCUUACUUUAUGAGGUGCUAAGGAUCGAACCCAGGGCCUCACACAUGCUAGGUGAGUGUUCUAUCUCUGAGCCACAACCCCAGCCCCAGGCUGGUUUUUAUUCCCCCCCCCCAGUACCAGGAAUUGAACCCAGGGGCGCUCUACCCCUGAGCUCUACCCCCAGGCCUUUAAUCUUUUAAUUUUAUUUUGAGACUGGGUCUGGCGAUGUUGCCCAGGCUGGCCUUGAACAUUCAAUCCCCUGCCUUAGCCUCAAGUAGCUGAGAUGCAGGUGUACACCACUGGCGGUCCAAGCCGUGUGACCGCUGCACCAGCCCAGUGGACCAGGAGGGUGCUGCUGCUCGGUGAGGGUCAGGACCACCUUGCCUGCUGUUUGCCUUUGCAGCGGCAGGACUGGGCUGUGGUGGUGGCUGCAGGUCCUUGGGCACACCACUUAGCUGCCGGGGCCUCAGCUUCCCGUCUGUAAGGUGAGGGGGCAUGGCCGAGGCUGUGUGAGGAGGCCAGCAGCCCACAGGGCAGGUGAGGCAUGCAGCCUGCUCUGCCAGGAGGGUCUGACCGGUCGGAGGGGCCUGUGUUCCUGCAGAUCAGCAAGUGCUGUGUGGCAGUGCCUGGAGGCUUGGCCACAGUGGGCAGUAAGCGUGGGACCAGUGAGUGGCCAGAAGACGUCCAGUCCAGAAAGCUCAUUCGCACAUUUGAUAGACUUAGAAACGCCAUGGGGGGUGGGUAACUCCUCCUCCCCCCACCCCCCUCCGGCUUCACUGCUUUUCAGGAAAACCUGAAGCAGCCCGGGAGGUCCACCCCUACCCUGGGUUACAGUGGCAUCACAGAAAUGUCCAGGUGGGCCCGCGUGGACAUUGGGAGACAAAGGCUCUGCCACGUGCACCCUCAGGGACUGUGCCCCGCAGGUCACAGGUCACAAGCCCUGUCAGAACGAAGGGCUUCUUCAAGCCCCAGGGAGAGGCCAGGGGUGGGAGAGGCCACGUCAACUCGACCCUAUGAGUGUGCCACCUCGUGGCCGCAGGCGAGGAUGCAGCAUAGGGCCCACAGCUGCGCCCAGGGCAGCCCCGCCCGCCUCCUUGCAACAGUGGCAAGUGGCGGGUGCCACCUGAGACCACAGGGCCUACUUUGUCCCCUUUGGGACAGACUGCUGGCCUGGGUUCUAGUCUAAGCUCUGGGUCUUACCUGCUGUGUGACCAUGGCAAGUCCCUGCACCUCUCUGAGCCUCAGUUUCCCUUCUCUGGUGGUCAGCUGCGUCCUUCCUCCUGCCCUCGCCUGCUCCAUAGUUGCGCACGGAGGGCCACCUCCUUCUCAUUACUCAGCCUGUGGUUCCAGUUUUAACAACAGAAAAUGGACCAAGACAACUGCCCAACCAGUGCCCGAAGGAUGGGACAGCAGGCAGGGACAGCGUGAGGGACAGAAUGGGGUGGGUGGCAGAGCAAGCAACUGGUUGGCCAGCCCUGAGGUCCUGGAUGUCCUGGGCACCAUGCACUGGUCCUCCUGGAAAGCUCCUGUUCCUUCUGAGAGCAGCAAAGACUGUGGGGACCUCGGGGCCUCCAAACUGGAAUGGUGCAAGGGGGCCACAGAUCUGGCAGGACAGUUGGUCUGGGGGCCUGGGCCUGGAGGACUCUAAAACAAGGCACCUUCCUGAUUACACACCCCUGCUCUGAGGAUAAACCCUCGGCACAGAGCCCACCUCGAGUGGACAGGGACACUGGGUCAAAGGAAGGGGGCUGGGUGGGGGAGCGCAAGGAAGGACGGUCCCACGUCUGAGGCCAGCCUGGGCAGUUCAUCAAGAACCUGCCUGAAGACAAAGAAUUGAAAGGGCUCGGGUGAGGCCGUUCAAUAGUCAAGUGCUUCCUCAGACGAGUGAGGCCCUGGGUCAAUCCCCAGCUCUGGAUGAAAGGAUCCAGAGAUGUGAUAAGACUAAAGGCAGCACAGGUGUAAACACAGUGGGUCAACCCGAGAGAACAGAAGGCAGAAGGAGCAGGCCUCCUUCAUCACCAAGAAACGAGAAAGACCCGAAAGGGAUGGGAGAGAGUGGGAGAAGUGCAAGACAGACCCGAAGGCCUAAGGCACACCUGACCAGAGAAGUCCCUGGAGAAGAAGACAGAUCCGUGUCCACAGGCAAACCACCACGCAGGAGAAGCUCCCGGAGGGUAAAACCAGCCACCUAGAGACCAGGACAGCCACUGGGAGCCGAGCUGAUGCACCAGGAGCUGUCAGGCUGCACAGAGAAGAGAAGCCCUCAGACAACCAAGCAAGAGGUCGGGACACCAAAGAGAGGUCGAAGGUUGAGACAGGGUCGCUAGGCUGCAUUUCCCUGCACCAGCCCAUGCUGGGAGAGAGAGCAUGAGACCCAGAACUCCAGACCCAGAACACAAGACCCAGAGUAUCAGACCCAGAACUCCAGACCCAGAACAUCAGACCCAGAACUCCAGACCCAGAACAUCAGACCCAGAACAUCAGACCCAGAACUCCAGACCCAGAACAUCAGACCCAGAACUCCAGACCCAGAACAUCAGACCCAGAACUCCAGACCCAGAACAUCAGACCCAGAACUCCAGACCCAGAACUCCAGACCCAGAAAGUAGACAUAUCACACCCAGAGCAUGAGACACAGAACAUUGGACCAGCAUAUUAGACCAGAAUAUUGGGCCUUGAACUUUCAAUGCAGAGUGCUUGACCCAGCGUGUCGGCAACAUUCGGCACAGAGACUCGCGGAGAACACAGACCAGAAUCCUAGGCCCAGCCGUCCAUGUUAAGGCUGCAGAUGCUGCCAGGACGUGGAAAAUCUCUUUCUGGAGCUUUUGCUGUGGGAAUCUGCAAACCACAACCAGGGCCCGGCACAGGUUGAAACCCAUGAGGUCAAGACGCUGCGGGAAAGAUCACAGUCACAGGAGGAACGCAGCUUGUCAUUUUGAAACCGUCGGUAAAGUGAGGAGAUCAGGCAUUUCUCCCCCUUUCCUAGGUGGCUGGAACUCAGGGCGACAAAGAGUCAAGGAGGGGAAGUCUCUCCUAAUCGCGUUCAGCUGAUGAGUGAAGAGGGGACCCUGGAACUUGGAUAUCUCCAGUGUGCACCUCCUUGUGGCUUAGGGGACCGCGGCCAUGACCAUCCGUUUAUCCUAACCCUGCAGCACGUGGCCACUCCAGCGGAAGGCCCACCACACCCAGGAGGCGUCCAGGCAAUUGGCACUGAACCUGAAUCUGACAAGACUGGAAAGGGCCCUGCCCAGCACGGCAGCCACUGUCCCCCCAGCUACUCACAUGUAAGACCCAUCAGAACAAGACGCAUCCUCAUCACCAGGCCACAUUCCACCUGUGCCAUUGCCACCAUGGCUGGUGCCCAGGGCUGGACAGUAAGGAGGAUUCUCACAGGAAGAUCCACGGGACAGGACCACCUUAGUGCUGAUGGCCACUCAGCAGCAAAGGGGAACAGAGUGACGUGGUGUCCCUUGGGUCCACAGCGGGCACACAGGCAACACUCACAGCGCAGUCUCUUAAAAACAAGCAAAGGUUAGAGCAAGAAGCUGGAGAGGACACGUGGUCAAGGGAGGCCUCAGAGACCCGCGGAGGCCCAUGGGGAAUGGAGCCCGUUGGUGGCGCUGUGUGUGAAGGGACGGCCUCGUGGCAGGGCGGGUCAUCUUGGGUGGGAGCAUCGCUGUGCUGUCUCCACAGGGCAGCCCUGUCUCUGGCCUGCACACUGAACCUUCGCGGAUUCACCGCCACCUGGAUCCGCUCCAUGCUGCAGGUGUUGGGGCCACAUGCAAUAAACCCACCACAACUCGGAAACGUUGUCUGGGGAAGACGCCCUGAGCAUCCCCAGACCCCGACCCGCUGAGCGCCCGGCUCAGCCACGCCGCUCGCUGGGGAGCAUCCCGGCUUCCCCUGGGAUGGCAGGGCUGACCGCGAGCCGCCCUCACCAGGUUGCCCGGCACAGAAUUGCUAGCCCAGGAAAGGACCGAGGUCAGGACACAAAGCACAGUUUCUGCUGAGUGUGUGUUGCUUUCCCACCGUCAUGAAGUCGAAAAGUUGUCCCUCAGCCAAGCUGGGGUCCACCUGUAAUCCAGGGGUCAGUGUGGGCUUGACUCAGGGAAGCAAGGGGGCUUGGCGGGGCGGUCUGUGUCCUUGGGUUCCCUCUGCUGACCUCUCUGCCCGUUAGGGGCUCCCAUGAUCACAGGAUGCAGGGCUCACAGGGACAGCUGUGCUCUCUGGCCUCAGGAGCACCCACCACCGACCCCAGCGGGGCCCUCAAAGGUCAGGGCAGGAAAAUCACUCUGUCCCCACUUGGCCCGCAGAGGGCAGGCUGGGUGGAGGGACCCGGGGGGACUGCCUGGGAAGGCCUGCUCCGACAGAGGCCACGGCCUCCCAGAGAUGGUGGGGUGAGGGGUCCGGUUGGCAGCCACUCCCAGGAAGUGUCCCCUACGCCCCCGGGGACUGCCACAGCUUGCUCACACAGCCGCACUGCAGCACCCGCCUCCUGCCUCCUGGGUGCGGGCACCGUGCUGGGCACCAGGACCCACACCGUGCCAGCCCCCGUGAACCAGGAGAGAAGCCACUGCAGCCCAGGGGCCAAGCCCUGGAGGGAGUGAGCAAGGGGCACCUCCUGUGGGGAAGGCCUCUGGGGCCAGCCACUGUUGUCUGUCUCGUGGACUCUUUACUUUGUGCCCUUAUGCCCACGCCUAGUUCCCCUGUGUCUCCGUCAGCUGACCCACUGCUGUGACCAAAAGACUGACAAGAGCAAGUGGAGGAGGAGAGGUUAUCUUGGGGCUCAUGGUCCCAGCGUCUCAGUCCUUAGGCGGCCAGCUCCGUUGCUCUGGCCCAAGGUGAGGCAGAACAUCAUGGUGGAGUGUGGUGGGGACAGUGGCUCCGGACUCGGCUACCAGGAAGCAGAGAGAGCCUGCGACCAAGGAGCAAGGCCCCAGGGACCCACCUGCUCCAGCCACACCCAGCUGCCUGCUCCGCCCAGGCUGUCCCUGUCCGGGGUCCGUGCCCUGGCAGGGCACGGCUCCCGUCAUCAGCCACUUCACCUCUGACCCUCCUUCCCUUGGCACCCAUGAGCUCUGUUCUUUCUCUACACCUUUAUUUGACUCAUUUAUGUCUCUGUGGUGCUGAGGAUGGAACCCAGGGCCUUCCACGUCUGGGCGAGUGCUCUACCGCUGACCCCAGCCCCGGCCCCCCACGUGAGCCGUUGGGACACCUCACAUCUCACCACGGUGCCCUGUAGCCCCCUCCAUCGCUGUGGCCCAUUUGUUACAGGCGGUGACCCCCUCUUCACUCACCCUCCUCGGUCUCUACCCCGCACGCUCUGCUGUCCCGGGGUCCCGCGGGCCAUCCAGUCGUCACAGCUCCCUGGACUCCUCCUGGCUGGGACACUGUCUCAGACUCUGUCCUGAUUUUGAUGAUCCUGAAAGUUUUGAGGAGUGACAGGAUUUUAUAAAUGUCCCUCCGUUGCCAUCUGUGCCCUGUUUUCCUCAGGGUCAGACUGAGGCCGUGGGCUCUAGGAGGAGGCUACGGAGCCCUUCUGACCGCAUCCUGUCCAGGUCACCUGCCAUCCGUACGACUGGCCGCUGUGGGUGACUGACCACGCCCACGGGACUCCGCUCUGGGACUGUCCCUUCCUUUCCCAGGCCCUGGGAAGGAGGUCAGGAUGGUGGCUUCUCUCCAUUUAGGGAAAAAAAAAAAUCACAUAUAUAUAAAAGCACCAUGAGAAGUUGACUCCACUGUUCCCACAGCGCAGACCUCCUUGGAUCUUGGUGAUGUACACGCAGCGUGAACUUGGCCGUCUUAGCCACUGAAGGUAACGUGAAGCCCACUAGGACCCAGUGUCCACCCAGAACGCUUCAUUUUAAUAGUUAGCUAUGUUUUAGCUGUAGUUGGACACAUGCCUGGGUUUCAUUUAUUUCUAUGUGGUGCUGAGGAUCGAACCCGGGGCCUCGCACGUGCCGGGCUCUACCGCUGGGCCCCAGCCCAGCCCAGCCCCAUCCAGAACGCUUUGCACCUUGCAGAACGGAAGCCCCCGGAAGCCCGCACCCAGGAAACACUGCCUUCUCCGGCCGGCCCCUGGCGACCCCGUCGGCUUCCUGUCUCCGUGAGCUGGACGGCGGCCCAGGACAGGGACGGUGCCCCGCUCACCUUUCCGCCCAGCCGCUCGCGCGGUUCAGUAUUUCCUUCCCUUCGUGGCUGGGCGGUCCCCUGGAUGGAAGGACCACAUCUUGUCCAUCUGUCCGUCUGUCAGUGAACGUCUGCUGCUCCCACCCUUUGGUUGCUGGGCACAUGCAGCCGUGAGGUUGAUUCCUCAGGGUCCACUCUAGGAGCGAAGCUGCUGGCCACGUGGUCACGCUCCAUUUAGCGUUCUGAGGAGAUGUUGGGCAGCUUUCCGCCGUGGGUGGGGAUCUUAGGUCCCGCCAACAGUGCAGGAGGACUGACCCCUCGUGUCCUCGGCAGUGGGAGGUGACGUUGUGUUCCGGGUGAGUCGGUGCGCCUUUUUAAUGUUCUUACAAUUCUAUUUAUUUUGGGGGGAGGUGUCCAGGAUGACAUGCUGCGUCCGCCCCCAUCUCUAGGUGGCAGCCCUAGCUGAGGACGUGGUGGCAUUGGAGAUGGGGACUGGGAGGCGACUGGGUGCGAUGGUUGCGAGGGUCAUGGCCUGUGGCAAGAGGAAGCCGGAGGGCUCGUCCCCUCCUGCGGGCACACACAGGGACAGCUAGAAGGGACGUCACAGCUGGAGUCUCCCGUCUCCCCCAGGGAGGGUCCUUGCCAAGAGCCACAGUGGCCAGCACUGGAACUUCAGCCUCCAGAGCCGUGACACAUCAAUGCUGUUGCUUAGGCCACCGGCCUCUGGGAUCCCACCCUGAGCUGAGCAGGCGGGUGGUUCAAAGCUCACAAGGCACAAAACACAUCAGUGAAACCUCCCUCCGGCCCACCCACACAGGUCCCUCGGGGAGGGGACAUUUGUACUGAGACCCACCACAAGACAACUGGUCUCACGAGAGGGUGUUCCAAGCAGCAGGAAAAGCACGUGCGAAGGCCCAGCCGUGGGCUAGAGGCUCAGGAGCUGGGAGGCUUCAGGGUGGCCGGGGAGGAAUGGCCACCGAGAGCCUGGGCCUGGCGAUGGGGGGCAGCAGCCCCCCGGGGCCUCCCAGGGGCCUUGGAGGCCGCACGCGGUGGUGAUCGACGCAAGAGCACGGAUCCAGACCGCAGUGUGCAUCCGGCUCCAUCCUCCCUCGGGGCAGGACACCCCUCCCCCUGGCGGGUUUCCAGAGCCCGUGAGGAAAGCCCCACCCCUGACUCGGGUCUCUGUGACACCCCCAGAGCCAUGCCUGGCGCAUGAGGCCGCUCCCGGCCUCAUCAUCCCAGGGCAGAUGCGCCCGGCACUUCACACUCUGGGGGGCAGUGUCCAGUGGGAGAGGAGAGCCGCUGCUCCAGCGUCUGCUUCACCUGGGCCCCCAGCAGACCUGCCCUGUGUCUCGCUGGCCAGACGCUUUGCCACUCUCCAGCUCUUGAACCUCAGAGGCCAGAGAAAUGGGUCAAGAAGGCCAGAGGCCCAGAGGGCCCAGUGUCAGCCAGGCAGCGCCCCAGAGCUGACCUGUGGUCAGGGGGCCCCCUCAGAGGUGUCCAAGGUGCUACUGCUGCAUGGGCCUGCUCUAGGGGGACAGAGCAGCCUGUGACUGGACGGCCUGUGCAGCCCCAGCACCUCCGCAGGAGUCUGAAGGUCCGUGGCACUAAGUCAGCAGGGACCCAGGGCUCGGCUGAGAGUGGACCUGAGCCCAGGGGCUGGGUGACCUGUGCAAGCACCUGCCAGGUAUGGCUUCCCAGGGGUCCACGGCCAGGCAGGGCUAGGGAGGGAGCAGCCUGGUCCUCGUGACCCCCAACACGUGAAUCCUGGGGUUGGGGUCCUGACACCAACGUGACCUCCAAGGCAAGUCCCUCAGGGUCUGGCCUGCGUCUCCACAUAAUGCUCCUCAGAUGUCACCCUCCAGGUCUCCAGCCUCCACCAAGGCCCGAGGCCAUCAGAAGCUGCUUUGAGAGGUGCCCUGGGAGCUCGGGCCUGCCUGGGCAGAGAUGUGCCCAGCCAGCAGGCUGCGCCAGCUCCCGGGAAGACAGCCCGCCCCUCAGCAGCCUGCUCGGGACACCGGUCUCCCUGGCUGGCCGUGGAACCGUCCCAAGACCCCACCCAGCCAUCUCCUUCUCCAGCAAGCCUCCCCAGCCCUGGGCGGUGAGGUCCUGUAGAAUCUCCAGCCUGGGGAACAGAGUGAGGAGUUACAUCUGACUCAAAAGCCACUUCAGACUAGCCAAGCAGAAAAGGAAGUGUAUUAAUUCUUACAGCUGCCAAGUCCAGGGUAUCCUUCAGGCGUGGCUGGAUCCAGACAGGACCAAGGGGCAGCAUCUCUUUGCUUUAGUUCUACCUCAUGGCAGGUCUGGGCCAACAUCCCCCCUGUUAUCAACCGUGGCAGAGCCUGAGGUUCUCUGUACAACAGUUUUAACCAGAGUUUCACAAUUGGGUCUCCCUGGCUGUGGGUGAGCUGGUUCAGGUCACAUGUCUAUCCCCAAAACAUGAAGGACUGAGCUUAGCUCUGCUGGGCUACAUGGCAUGAGGAUGGGAUGAGGGGGCAGUCAUCGCUGGCCACACAGCUGGCCAUGGCAUCCUUGCUGGCUCCUCAGGAGAUGACUGCUUCACGGGCAGGGACGGCGCCCCCUAGUGUUGCCUGCAAAGGCCAGCAAGGGACACAGUAGACACACUUUGGUUUUCUCAGGGCAUUGGCACGUGCUGUUCACCCUGCUAGGAACAGCCCACCCAGCCGGCCCUCCUUCCCACCUCCUAGGACUGCCUUGCUAUUGGGACUGGGAUCUUAGUAAUCCUGUUUAGACACACACUAGACUGUCAUUCUAUCCUCCCUGCCUCUCUCCUCUUCUCUUUCUAUGCUCCGCCCUAGGGAAAUUCUUCAAAUCUCUUCUCCAAUUCACUGAUUCUCUCUUCAGCUGUUUAAUCCAUGGAGUUUAUAGUUUCAACAUUUAAUUUUGAUUUGUAAAGUCUCUGUGGUUCUUAUUCAAAUAUGAUCUUUCUUUAGCAGACUCUUCUUUUUGAUCUUUUUUCUUUCUUUUUCUUUUUUGAACUGGGAAUUGAACCCAAAGUUUCUUCACCACUGAGCCACAUCCCCAGCCCUUUUUAUUUUAUUUAUUUUUUGGGGGUACCAGGGAUUGAACUCAGAGGCACUCUGAUGAGACCAAUAAGCCUCAUCUCCAGUUCUAUUUAUUUUUAUUUUUAUUUUUUUAUUUAGAGACAGGGUCUCACUGAGUUUCUUAAUGCCUCGUUUUUGCUGAGGCUGGCUUUGAACUCACGAUCCUCCUGCCUCAGCCUCCCAAGCCACUGGGAUCACAGGUUGAUCUUCUUUCUAAUUCUGUCUUUUACUUUUCUAUUUCAAAUAUCCAAACAUCUGAAUUCUCAGGGGUCCACACCUGUUCGCCAUGUCUGUUGACUCUCAUGGGCCGUGUUUCUUUGAGUCUGGUCUUUUCCUUUUUAUGGCAAGUUCAUUUUUGGUUGCACUUCACCAGUGAGAAUCCUGAAGGCCUCAGUGGGUCACUGACCUCCAGAAGGGACCCUCCAUUUCCUUCUGCUGGUUUCCAGCUGGUGUGGACCCUCAGGGCCUGCUCUUGAUCUGGGACCGUUUGACGUAGGAUGGGGUCUCACUGUCUAACUUCACGCUGGGAGAGGGAACAGCGUCUCAGGGAAGUCACCCUUUUACUGCUCCCACCCAGAGCUCUGAGGCAGACUCCUGGGGCUCCCCGGGGGUUCCCUAUGGGGACAGGCAGGUUGGGGGACGUUUUUGGUCCUGUCCCUUCCCCUCUGCUGGGCACUUUGUUGCCCAGGGAAAUGCAGGCGGCCGGUGUCCCUGGUUCCGCUGUCUUUGGGUAGUUGAGUGUGUUCUGGAAGGGGGGGCCUCUGAGCUGGGCAAUGGGGUGGUGUCCACGUGUGGACUCUGCCCACGGUCAGGUAGCCGAUGCGUUUCAGGGCGUCUGCUCACCAUGCUGCCAGCAGGGUCAGCUUGUCACUGGCUCGGGCGUGGGGUCCUUGUGCUGACGUGCUCGGCUCGGGCAGGUUUUCCACGAGGACUCAGAGAGGAGGCUCCUUUCUGCGGCCAGCGCUGGGGACAGCUCUCAGGCUGAGGCACGCCUCUGCCAGCUUUGGGCCCUGCAGCAGCACCCCUUGCUGUGAUCCCCCGGCACUUCUGAGGACCCGGGGGAGGCCAGGGACUGGCCUGCUGCAGAGCGGGCAGAAUGGUGGGCACCAGGUGGACGUGCGGGCGCCCUGCAGGUGGUGGCGUGUAGGGGACAGGCCAUCUGUGCUCCUGAGGUCUGCAGCCCUCCCGCCCUCCCCUCCCAUCUCGGGCACACAGCCCCACUCUGUCCACACCCAGCCGGCCCCGGCCAGCCUUGCUUGGACCUGAAUGUCUGUGCCCAUGGCAGCUGCCUCCUCCCCGAAGACGGCCUGACCUGAUCAUCCCAGGAGCGUCCACUGCUCUCUCCUCUGGGCUGACCUCUGCUCAGGGCCACAUGGUGCGGGGAGCUGGUGUGGACCCUCAAGGGCUAUUGUGAGGACAGAUGGACGUGGGCAGUGGGAACACCUACCCUGCCCUGACUGUGCAGUGUCUUUCCUGAGGCUGGAACGCCCAGCUCCGGGCCCAUCCCUUAAGCCCCCGCCCGCCAUUUGGACUGACCCAACUGCCCUGCCCAACGUGGACCUGACCACACUGGAGACCCGUGUGGCGGUGGGAUGUGAGGUGUCCCCCAAAAGCUCACGUGCGGGAUGAUGUGCGAGGGCUCUAAGGGGAAAUGAUAGGUUGAGAGGGCCUUGACCCGUCAGUGAGCUGACCCCCCGAUAACCGAGGGGUCGCUGGAGGCAGGUGUGUGCUGGAGGAGGGUCCCCGAGGAUGUGCCUUGGGGGUGUGCAUUGUAUCUGGAAAGUGGAGUCUCUGCUUCCUGAUCCCCACGUGGGCAGCUUCCCUGGGCCACACCUUCCCUCCGUGAUGUCCGGCCUCACCUGGAGCCUGAGCAGUGGAGCCCGCUGUCCCUGGACUGAGACCUCUGGAACCGGGAGCCCCCAGAACUCUCCCUCCUCUACACUGUGCUGGUCACAGCGACUCAACACCCGGAGAGUUCAGCAAGUGUCCCCGAGACAGAGGUUGGCCGGGACCCCCGAGGACCUCCUGGGCUGGACGGGGCUGCUGGGCUACAUCCUGCCCCAUCCUGCCAGGUACUCAGCCUGGGAUCCUGUCCCCACCACUGCUCCUGGUCACUGCCCUGGGGAUAUCCCAGGGUCACUGCUGGGCUGCUUCUCAGGCUCUAGGUGGGCGCCCUGGAUUCCAUGGGGAUCCUGACCUGGGCCCAGUACGUGAGUGGAACUGUCCCAGGGACACCCCCCUUCUCUCACUGGAGGCAGAGUUCCAGGCCCUCUGGUCUCAGCCCUACUGCCCCUUGAGCCCAGCUGCCCAGCUGCCCUGGUGCCCGGCCUGGUUCCAUGCGGCUCCCACAGGUCCUGAUGGGCCAGCCUCGCUGGUCCCCCAGCCUUGGCCUCGCUGCCCAGAGGAGAGCCACACAGCCCUCUGGGCUCAGCCAGAGUCCGCACAGGCUGUGGUGGCCGCAGGUCCCGUGGGGGAGGUGGUCAGCUCUGCCCUGCUCAUCCUUGCUCUGCGCACAGAUGGACACACCAUAGGCUCUAGUGGGGUGGGAUGGGGGCUUGAAGCCGCUGUGCUCACCAGAAGAUUCCCCACCUUGACAGGAAACCAUUCGAGACUCCUGACCAGAGGGACACAAAGGGUGGCCAAGAUGGAGCCUGGCACAGGUAGGAAUGACGAGGGGUGGGCUUGGGCAGCAGAAGCCACCAGUGGGGGCAUUUGCAAAGUUCUCUGGGGUGAGUGGCCAGGGAAAGAGGCUUGAGUCAGUUCCUGCUGUGUGACCCUCAGCAAGCCACUCAGCCUCUCUGAGCUCUGCACCUGGUGGUAUCGCCAUGAUAAGAGGCUUCCAUCCAGGUCAGUGCCCUCCUCGUCCACACAGGUGGGAACAGAGACAGUCUCCUGUGCUCCUCAGGGACACAGCUGCAGUGGCAGAGCUGGAACUCAGAGACAGGAAGCUUCUGCCGAGGGCAGCUGCCCACGGCGGCUCCUCACUGCCCAGCCCCCCUGGGGCCAGGGAGCAAGACCAAGGUGGGGGUCGGAUGCCUGUGAGACAGCGGGUCUUCAGGACCACGGUCCCCAGUAGGACCCCCACGGGAUCUGCUGGGUGAGCCUCUGAGAGGUCCACCUGACCCGCCCACUCUGAGCCCCACAUCUUCUGGGGAGAACACCUCCUGGGCCCGUGCUCUGGGCACCACCCAUGGUGGGCGUUUGUGUCCAUGGUCAGUGGGUCCCGGCCCACACUGGCUCUCCUCCCGUCCCCCUGCCCUGACUGCACAGCUGACCGGCCAGAGCCCUCUAGAGCCUGGUACCCAGCUGCGACAGCAGAGGCGGGCUCCGCCUGCAGCCCCUGCCUCCCGGCGGCAUCCCCAGGCCCUGUUCGCCCACUUCCCUCAGCAAUACCCCUCCCCACCCGCUCCCCCCUGCCUGCCUACAAGCCCAGUCACCCUGGAAAGCUUUAUCAGCUGUCCCCCUCCUCAUCAGGGAGACCUCACUUUCCCUCCAGGCCACCCUAGGCCUUGGUUUUACCCCACCAGACUUUCACUAGUGUCUGUGUGUGUCUGCCUCCCCCCAGAAACAGAACUCAGAAACAGGAGGCCAGCACGGGGCGUGGCCUCGACGGAACAAGGCAGCCUCUCCCCACUGGCCUCCAGGGAGCGUCACUCAGGAACCCUGGUGGAGGUCUGGGGGUCCCAGUGGAACCCUGCAGAAAGCCAGUCUUGGCAACGUUCCCAGCCUCCACUCUGGAACAAAGGCCCCGUUUCCUCCAAAAAAGAUGGGCCAGGGUGACGAGGAUGAACCCGGGCACCUGCCUCCCAUGACAGCACAGCCGCCUGCUCUGGCCGAGGCGUGUGCACUGGCUUCUCAGCAGAACCAGCUCCCACACAGUGGGGGACCCAGCGCCCCCAGAAGGGGAAAAGACAAGGGUCCCCGGGAACCUCCAGGAAGGAACGUGGCCCUGCCAAGACUGACUUCAGCCUCUGCAGCAAGCCCACGAGGCUGACCGCCCACCUAGGACCACGGUGGCCAUCUCUAAGGGGUCAGCUACUGAGCUCGUGGGGUUUGUUACAUCGGAGCAGCAACAAGUGCACCGCGCCUCCCGGGGGACACGGGCUCCCAGAGAGGAGAAGGACCUGCCCAGCCUACCGCCAGGCCUCCUGACCACUGCCCAGGGUCCCCGCCCGGCCCACCCUCCUUGGAGGACAGGACAGAGGCACCAGCAGACAGGCAGUGCCGGCCCUGAGAGGCCAGAAGCUGCGGAGCCCGUCGCUGUGCGGCCUCAGGGAGCUGGGGGCCGGGGCGGGGGGCUGUGUGCGGAAGCCAGGGAGCAACUGUGGCAGAAGUUGGAACUUGUAGGGAGCCAGUGCCCUGCCAAGAGCCCCCUGGGGUCCCCACGUCCCUGCAAAGCAGGUGGUGGCAGGCGCCCACGUCAGCCUGGGUCCAGAGAGCACCCAACACACGCCCUCGUCCCCGGAGGCCAGCCAGGGCUCUGCCUAUUUAUAGAACCCUCAUCCAUCUUCCUGCCUUUGAUCAGGGAGGGGCUGGGCUCCUUGGAGGCUGCAGAUCUUGGCAGGCCCUGCCUCUGCGGCAGGGCGGCCGGGCUCCCCUCAGCUGGGGUGGGGCCAGCGCUGGGGCUGGGGAGCACCUGCACAGCGGCAGAUGGCCUCAGGCCACCUCAGGCUGACCGGCAAGGGAGGCUCCUGGUGGAAGGGCUUCCGUGGGCCCUUCUCCCCCGCAACUCUGGCAACCAGCCAUCUUGGCGUCUGUGGCUCUGAGGCUGCUCUCCUGGGAAGCCACUCAGGUCUCGGGUCCUGGGUGCCCUCCCUCCCCCCACCCGCCAUCGAAAGUCCAAGGUUCCCACGCUCCCUGGAGUUUGGGCUCCCUCUUUCAGAAGAGCCCCGCGCCCAGGCCCUGGGGUGGGCACAGAGGCGGCCAGCGCCUUCACUCCCAGGGUCAGGCCCCUCCUGCUGGACGGUGUUCCAUGCCCACCCCCACUCCCUCCGGGUGACCAGAGCCAGGAGGCCUGUGUUCUGUCCCCGACACGUCCCCAACACGUCCUCGAAGGGCAGCUGGACCCUGGGGGAGUGUGAGUGUCAGGGGCUGGGACUCCUGGGCUUCCUCAGCCGCUGCUCCCUGGACUCGAACCCUUCAAGGCAUUCGCCUCCCUGCUCCAUGCCUUGUCCCCUGGGGCUGGACACCAGGGCUCUGGGAGGGGACUCUUGGAAAGGGGGAGGCGGAGCAUCAGGACUUGCUGGCCGACUGUGACCGGGCACUGCGCGGUUUUCUUUCUUCUUUCUAAUUAUUUGGAGAGACCCUAGAUUUGGGCAAGGUCUUCGCCUGGCCUGAGUCUCGGGGUCUCCCUUGACCGCUGUAGAGCCCCUGGGAUAAUCCUCCUUGCCCUCGAGCACCUGUCCCUGCCCCCACACCCAGGAAGGGUCUGAACAUGGAGUAAGAAGUCAGCCAGGAGCGGGCACAGCCCUCCAGAAGAGGGGCGCACAGAUGGGACUGCUGGGGGGACUCUGGGGCCUUUCCAUCUCCGCCUCCCCCACGGCCCCCCCUGGGCUGCCGCACACAGUAGGUCUCCUAACUGGGUCCCCAGGUGGGUCCUGAUCUGAAUCCCUCAGUUCCAAGGGGAGGCUUCCUGCGGAAGCACUGGAGGCGGAGGAAGGGACGGGACUCGCCAUGCCGCCAGGCCUCCUGCGAGGCUGCCAGACAGGGUGACCCUUGCUGUCUGUUUCUUUCUCCCCCUCAGGUCCCGCGGGCUUGCUCCCAAACUCCAGCCCCAAGCAGCCAUUCCUCCACCCUUCAUGGCUCGUCAGCCCCAGGAGGCGGCACGAGCAUGGCUCCCUGGCCUCUCCGCCACUUCCAGGAGCCAGGGUGCUGGUCUAGAGGCGCGGGCCUCAGUGCUACCCUCUGUCCUCAGCCCUCCCAUCACGUCCCUGGGGGCCUCACACAGCACUCUGCACGCACCCCGGUUCCAAACUCCUCCUGCCCCAGGGCCUUUGCAAGGACUGUGCUUCCUCAGCUGUCUCCCUCAGGCUCUCCCCUCCAUGGUCUGGCCAGAGGCCUUCUCAGAGCAUCACCCCACAGUCCUGCCACUCUCUCUGUGCUCUUCUGCAUGGUACCAUUGAACCCAGGGACACUUUACCACCGAGCCUCUUCUGCAGCCCUUUUUAUCUUUAUCUAGUUUGCCAAGUUGCUGAGGCUGGCCUGGAUCCUCCUGCCUCAGCCUCUCGAAGCCCUGGUGUUCCAGGGGAGCACCCCAUGCCAGGCUCUCCCUGGGCUCUUCCUUGUCUUCUCUGUGGUGUGUCCCCUCACCCGUGUCUGUUCUCCCCCAGGACAGUAACCCUGGAGGACUCGGUGCUGCCCGUGUGCACCUUGGUCCUGAAUGAGUAUCCAGUGAAUGAGGGAAGGCCAGUGUGUGGUGGUGGAAGCCAGGCAGAGGGGCUGUGGCCAGUUUGCCACCAGGGCUCCCUGAGCUGCCCAGCGAAGGCAGGAUACGGCCCUGGCCAGGGGGGAGCCUGCUGCUGGGGUGUGGCUUGGCACGUGGCUGUGGGGCGGCCGUCCUCCUGUCCAGAAGACUCGGGAUGUGCCUGGAGCAGCCUGAAAGCAAGGCCCCUGGCCUCUCUGCCUCACUUGGUCAUCCCGACUCAGGACAACCUUAGCGUCCCUCCCCGUGCCCAGUGAGGUCCGAGGAAAGUCCCCAGGGAAAGUCCCCUGCAAGCCAUUGAUGACAGCACGGUUGUAGCUACAAUGCUAAAAUAUGAAAGUAAAGAAAAAUUUCAAAAAGUU